RNAcentral lists this ribosomal RNA (832 nucleotides) under uncultured proteobacterium EBAC33. Its description in RNAcentral is "SSU rRNA". It matches the Rfam family "Bacterial small subunit ribosomal RNA", at positions 346 to 1197 of the family's 1533-position model. The record is from RNAcentral. Lineage: Bacteria; Pseudomonadati; Pseudomonadota.
AGGCAGCAGUGGGGAAUCUUAGACAAUGGGCGCAAGCUGAUCUAGCCAUGCCGCGUGAGUGAUGAAGGCCUUAGGGUCGUAAAGCUCUUUCGCCUGUGAUGAUAAUGACAGUAGCAGGUAAAGAAACCCCGGCUAACUCCGUGCCAGCAGCCGCGGUAAUACGGAGGGGGUUAGCGUUGUUCGGAAUUACUGGGCGUAAAGCGCACGUAGGCGGAUUGGAAAGUUGGGGGUGAAAUCCCGGGGCUCAACCCCGGAACUGCCUCCAAAACUAUCAGUCUAGAGUUCGAGAGAGGUGAGUGGAAUUCCAAGUGUAGAGGUGAAAUUCGUAGAUAUUUGGAGGAACACCAGUGGCGAAGGCGGCUCACUGGCUCGAUACUGACGCUGAGGUGCGAAAGUGUGGGGAGCAAACAGGAUUAGAUACCCUGGUAGUCCACACCGUAAACGAUGAAUGCCAGUCGUCGGGCAGUAUACUGUUCGGUGACACACCUAACGGAUUAAGCAUUCCGCCUGGGGAGUACGGUCGCAAGAUUAAAACUCAAAGGAAUUGACGGGGGCCGCACAAGCGGUGGAGCAUGUGGUUUAAUUCGAAGUAACGCGCAGAACCUUACCAACCCUUGACAUACUCGUCGUCGCUCCAGAGAUGGAGCUUUCAGUUCGGCUGGACGAGAUACAGGUGCUGCAUGGCUGUCGUCAGCUCGUGUCGUGAGAUGUUCGGUUAAGUCCGGCAACGAGCGCAACCCACAUCCCUAGUUGCCAGCAGUUCGGCUGGGCACUCUAUGGAAACUGCCCGUGAUAAGCGGGAGGAAGGUGUGGAUGACGUCAAGUCCUCAUG